ACAGGGAUGGGAAUGUCUCAGAGGAAUGGGAAUUCUUUUAUCUCUUAAGAUGAAAUAUUACAGGUGCUGCAGAGUGACUAGUCAAGCCUGCACAAUCUAUGCUGGUGGUGGAAAGACAAUUAAGAACUUUUUGGGUCAAGCAGAAGAUCCUGGGAAAGGCUAUAAUUGUGGCUGAUUAGAAGGCGAGCAUCUAAACACCCAUCCUUGUGGAGAAAAGAAUGGCUCAAAGCAUGAGGAGGGAUGAAAAGAGAAGCCAGCAGAGCUUGGAGAAUUUGGAUUUUCGGCAGGGUAAAAAUUCUGUGCUGUUGCCUGAAACUGGAGCCUGUUCCUGCCAAGAGAAGCUGACCUAGGAGAGGACAAAGUCAUGGGAUGGGAAGAUCCCUGGACCAAAGUGUGACAAAAGGUGGUUGAAGUAGAGCCAAGGCAGGGGAAAAGAUUUACUGAGUGCAAAAGGACACAAAAAUCAGAAUCCUUUGUGAUGCAUGGGGAGAAGGGCUGCAAAGGUGUCACCAACACAGAAUUAAAGAACAUCCAGAGAUGGCUACAACAGCAAGGGACCCACAAGGAUGAAAAAGGAGAGAAAAGCAAGAAGACCUGGUGUGGACAGAGCUUUAGGAAAAUGGGCCAUAGAGGAUCUCAGAUGAUCAGCAGGGAAUCAGGAGGAGGUGAUUUCUCUGCAGUACUUCAUCUAGAGGAAGGACCAAGAGAAGAAGUAAAGACACCAAGGAGUAGCAGCCCACAAUGGAAAGAGGCAAUGCUUGGGCUGAUGUUUCAGCCAGAGGGAAAUGGAAGAAGCUGCCAGUCACCUUUUCCAUGACUUUUUUCCAGGGGGAAACCCAGCUCUGGGGCUUCCAACAUAAGAAGCACAUGGACCUGUUGGACUGAGUGCAGAGGAUGCUAUGGGGAUGCUCUGAAGGUUCUUUCUGCUCUGGAGCCAGGCUGGGACAGCUGAGGGUGUUCACCUGGAAGAGAGAAGACUCCAGGGAGAGCUCAGAGCCCCUUCCAGGGCCUAAAGGGGCUCCAGGAGAGCUGGAGAGGGACUUGGGACAAGGGAUGGAGGGAGAGGACACAGGGAAUGGCUUCCCACUGCCAGAGGGCAGGGAUGGAUGGGAUAUUGAGAAGGAAUUGUUGCCUGUGAGGAUGGUGAGGCCCUGGCACAGGGUGCCCAGAGAAGCUGUGGCUGCCCCAGGAUCCCUGGAAGAGUCCAAGCCCGGGUUGGAUAGGGCUUGGAGCAAUCUGGGAUAGAGGAAAGUGUCCCUGCUCAUGGCAGGGGAUGAAACUAAAUCAUCUUUCAGGUCCCUUCCAACCCAAACCAUUCAGUGAUUCAGUGAUUCAGUGAUUAUCAGUUAUAAGAAAAAAACAAGCAUCAGGGACUGUGGGAAGGGGAAUCAUUUUACAAGGAAUUUACCUUACCUGAGUUAAAGUGUGAAAUCAGCUCCACUUCCUCCCACAGUCCAUGGCUCCACAUUGGCUUUUCUAGUGACCCAGAGGAACAGAAAAACUGGAUGUUACCCACACUUCCCAUUGGCACAGGGGCCAACCUUCACCCAGCUUGGAAGGGGAAGAAUUGCCUGAUAAGUUUAUUUUUCACUGAGUUUUAAAGAGCAGCGUGGCACAGUGACAACAGCAGCCAGCUACUCUAUAAGAUACAUCCCUGCCCUUCAGAGCCAAUUAAAUCACUGGAAUCCCAUGGGGGGAAGUAGGAAAUGCUGUGUAGUCACUUUUCCUAAAUCCCAGCUUGGAAAAGCACCGAGCGAGUCCAUCAAACUGGAGGCCUGAGCUGUUAAUGCUUUUCCAAGGGGAGAAACACAGUUCCCUGCACUGCUCACCACCUUCCUUGCCUGAUGAAGUCAUGUUGCUCCUUCCUACUGUGUAACAAGUUCCUCGAGGAGCAGGACACUCCUCCAGGGGAUUAUCCCAUUCUUGGUUUAAUGGGAAAAAUGUGAGUACUUCCAGAAAAAGCAGGAAGGAUGGAAAUCCUGGAAUCAGCCCCACUCCCCAGGUGGCCUCAGGACCAGGCAUCCAAUGUCACUCGUUCAGCUGAUGGCACUGAAAUGCCCACAAAGGCAUUUUGGGGGAAGCAGAGAGAGCAGACAGGUUCCUUUUGAUGCACAGGAAUAAAUGAAAACAGCUGCAGCUCUCAGGAGAUUAAAGGGAGCCUGAGGAGAGCUGAAUAAACCCUGUCACCGCAGGUAAGAUCUAGAUGACAGGAACGAUGAAGUUUGCUAAUGCACACGUAUCAAGACCAUACUAAUUCUUAAAUUUGUCAGGAGGUGUAAAGUGAUUUAAAUGUAACAUUUCUGUCCAAUAGACACAAGUUUGGGAUUCAUAUAAUUUCAUAUUUAGUGGGGAAUUGGUAUCUAGGUUUUUUCAUGUACACCUGACAACAUGAACAUGUUUCAAGGACUUGUAAGGAACUGGAAGUGAAGCACCUGGUCCAGUUGUGUGAAUAAACCACAUUCAGUUGUUUCAAGUCCAGGCUGGAUGAGGCUCUGAACAACCUGGUCUAUUGGGAGAUUCCCAACCCAUGGCAGGGAAUAGAUCAAGAUGGUCUUUAAGGUCCCUUCCUACUCAAAACAUUCAGUGAUUCCAUGAUUUUAUGAUCAGUAAGGGCUAACACUAUUGGCAGUCACUAAUAUCAUUUCCCACUCAAUUGGAAACUCAAAAAUGAAGUCCUCAUACAAAAGAGAAGGGCUGGAAUUGGAAAGGUUCACCAAACAUUCCUCACACUAUUUUAGAGGUAGUUCUUAUGAUGGCUGUGAACUGGAUUUUCAAUAGGGAACAUUUGGGACCUUCUGCACCUUUCCUAGAGAGCCCAGUGUGACAAAGUGGUGGGUGGGAGCUGGACAUGCCCCAGCUGGGUGCUCUCACAUCCCAGAAACUCCCCAUGCCCUGGGUUGAUCCCCAGAGUGGGCAGCAGGGGAGG
Passer domesticus (house sparrow) is the source of this 2926-nucleotide long non-coding RNA. RefSeq lists it as uncharacterized. The record is from RefSeq and is a predicted model, not a curated record. The transcript is spliced from 6 exons. Lineage: Eukaryota; Metazoa; Chordata; Aves; Passeriformes; Passeridae.